This 75-nucleotide antisense RNA is filed under the name Frankia sp. AcoPraII.1. RNAcentral describes it as "ASpks". It matches the Rfam family "ASpks TB sRNA". The record is from RNAcentral. Lineage: Bacteria; Bacillati; Actinomycetota; Actinomycetes; Frankiales; Frankiaceae.
CUUCACCGAGCCCAGCCACAGCGGACGGUCGGCCGGCCGGUCCCGGCCGUAGGCGGCGAGCAGGGCGGUGGCCUC